RNAcentral lists this ribosomal RNA (825 nucleotides) under uncultured Pseudomonas sp. Its description in RNAcentral is "bacterial SSU rRNA". It matches the Rfam family "Bacterial small subunit ribosomal RNA", at positions 48 to 869 of the family's 1533-position model. The record is from RNAcentral. Lineage: Bacteria; Pseudomonadati; Pseudomonadota; Gammaproteobacteria; Pseudomonadales; Pseudomonadaceae.
GCUACCAUGCAAGUCGAGCGGAUGACGGGAGCUUGCUCCUUGAUUCAGCGGCGGACGGGUGAGUAAUGCCUAGGAAUCUGCCUGGUAGUGGGGGACAACGUUUCGAAAGGAACGCUAAUACCGCAUACGUCCUACGGGAGAAAGCAGGGGACCUUCGGGCCUUGCGCUAUCAGAUGAGCCUAGGUCGGAUUAGCUAGUUGGUGGGGUAAUGGCUCACCAAGGCGACGAUCCGUAACUGGUCUGAGAGGAUGAUCAGUCACACUGGAACUGAGACACGGUCCAGACUCCUACGGGAGGCAGCAGUGGGGAAUAUUGGACAAUGGGCGAAAGCCUGAUCCAGCCAUGCCGCGUGUGUGAAGAAGGUCUUCGGAUUGUAAAGCACUUUAAGUUGGGAGGAAGGGCAGUAAGUUAAUACCUUGCUGUUUUGACGUUACCGACAGAAUAAGCACCGGCUAACUCUGUGCCAGCAGCCGCGGUAAUACAGAGGGUGCAAGCGUUAAUCGGAAUUACUGGGCGUAAAGCGCGCGUAGGUGGUUUGUUAAGUUGGAUGUGAAAGCCCCGGGCUCAACCUGGGAACUGCAUCCAAAACUGGCAAGCUAGAGUACGGUAGAGGGUGGUGGAAUUUCCUGUGUAGCGGUGAAAUGCGUAGAUAUAGGAAGGGAACACCAGUGGCGAAGGCGACCACCUGGACUGAUACUGACACUGAGGUGCGAAAGCGUGGGAGCAAACAGGAUUAGAUACCCUGGUAGUCCACGCCGUAAACGAUGUCAACUAGCCGUUGGAAUCCUUGAGAUUUUAGUGGCGCAGCUAACGCAUUAAGUUGAC